Sinocyclocheilus grahami is the source of this 1683-nucleotide long non-coding RNA. RefSeq lists it as uncharacterized. NCBI's taxonomy places the organism in Eukaryota, Metazoa, Chordata, Actinopteri, Cypriniformes, Cyprinidae. The transcript is spliced from 2 exons. The record is from RefSeq and is a predicted model, not a curated record.
AUCCACUGUUGGAAAGAUAUUGAAAAACAAAGUCCGAAUAUGUGAAUAUGAAACCAACUUUACCGCAGUAUCUACUACGCGUUCAGAUGAAGCUGUACGCCCGGCCACGCGCAUGUUUUUAUUCCGGUGUGAGUGUUUUCGGUGGGUAUAAGAUGGCAUUGAGCGAAUACGGGGCUCUUUGUAAAUGAGUAAGAGAUGAACGCGGCUGGAUCCAGACUGGCAGACCGCGCGCACAGACGCAGAUCGACACUGCGCAGUAAAUAUCAGCUGGGCUGGGUUCGGGGAGGUUCGGCCGGGUUGUGGAGCCAUUGAGACGGAUGGUUUAGGAGGAAGAAGCGCGCUGGACCCGCACAGAGGGCCCUCAGCUGCGCACAUGAGCUGUUCCGAGCAUCCUCGUGUGUUUAUUUGAGCUCUCAAUUCAUCAUCACCUUUACUUGGCGGCAUCACUCGUCCUCCCACUACGUCCGCUGCUACCUGCCCCAUUGACCAAACUCAAGCGUGGAAUCCUACCAUGUCUCAACAACCCAUUUCUUGGACCUGAAGGCAAAGCGGAGAUCAGAUUCUUAACAUCCCAAAUCCAAUUCUUAUUCCCCAUUCAGCUUCUACAAAUGGACAGGAACAAUCCAGCCUGCAUUAAAUGAAAGGAAGUAGUAAUGUCCAUAGCUGGCCAUUUAGACAGAAACUGUUAUGAUACUGAGAAAGUUUGUAUAAUCAGUUCAUUUUUGUCUUUCAAUGCUUUAAUCCCUCAGAGACUCUGAAUAUGGACCUUUGAGAGUCCUGACUGGUGUCCAGCAGCUUUUGUUUUCUUUUUCUUUUCUGGUUUGGAUGCUUAUGUGAUACUUCAAUGGCUUAAACGCAAGGCUGUUGGGUAUUUCAGAAGUGGGUUAUUUAAUUUUUUUUUCAGUUGCCAAACGCCAAUUCCACAGAACUUGGAAAAGGAAAAAACCUCACCAACCCAAAUCUCAGCCUUGAUUUAAGGUCACUUGGCAUCUAGACACAACCUCUGCAUUACUUCCACCAUUCCUCAAAGACUUUGAAAAUGAACGUUUGAGAGAUCUGACUGGUAUUAGAUGCUUUUUGAGACCCAGAAAGCAUUCAAUCUUCUGGAUUAGUUGUGUUUAUGAUACCUUGAGGUCCAAGAUUGUUAGGAAUUGCAGAAGUCAAAUAUAAAUAUACUCAUCAUUUUAGAUGCCACUUUUAGUGAACUUAAGAAAGGAAAAAACUUCUGCCAACUAGGGCUUGUUGUCACUUUGUAAGGCCACUACAGGGCUUGUAAUGCCACUUGGCACCCAGAAACAAGCCCUGCUUGACUUCGAACCUCAAAGACUUUGAAUAUGAACCUUUGAGAGAUCUGACUGGCAUUGGAUGCUCUUUAAGGUUUUUUUUUUUUGGAGGCCCAGCAAACCUUCAAUCUUCUGGAUUAGUUGUGUUUAAGAUACCUUGAGUCAUAAACCCAAGAUUGUUAGGAAUUUCGGAAAUCAAAUAUAUAUACUCAUCAUUUUAGAUGACACUGCCACUUCCAGAGAACUUAAGGAAGGAGAAAACUUCCGCCGACUAGGGCUUGUUGGUGCGUCUUGGUCCUGAACCCAAAUCCCAACCCCUUUCCCCCCUUUUUUGGCCAUUUGGCACUUAUUUCUUACCUCCAUCUCAUCCCGACCUCCACCAUUCGCCCCUCACUGGCCA